Molecule: long non-coding RNA, 656 nt
Organism: Solanum tuberosum (potato)
Lineage: Eukaryota; Viridiplantae; Streptophyta; Magnoliopsida; Solanales; Solanaceae
Exons: 2
Source: RefSeq, a predicted model, not a curated record
UUAUAACAAGAUUAGCUAGAUACUCAUUCCUCUCAUUAAUUUUCCCAAGUAAAUUUCAAAUUUCCGGUAGCUUAGUGUCCAAAACCAUGCUAACAUUUCCCAGUUUCAAGCCAUGUCUACUCAAGAUAAUAACAACAAUGAGAUGCAUGACUACAACAAGGAGGCCACCACCAAGGCCACCCAUAAAAACUAAACCACCACAAAACAAUAAUUUCAAAGACAAGAAAGAGAAUGUGAUGAUAGAGGAGAAGAGUAACAUAAAGCUCCAAGAAGAUAAUUCCAUGGUCAAAGCAAAUUGAUCUCAUCUCUAGGAAUCUAUUUUGUUAGAGAUCGUAAUAAGUUAUUUGUACUUGGUCUAAAGUUGGUCAAAGUACAAAAUGCAUCUAUGAUAUUUUAUUUUGUGGUAGUAGUUUGCAAGGUAAAAUUUACAAAUAGGCACUUUUCAGCUCCGUAAUUUGAAAAUAACCAAUUUCUGUUUUACGAUAUUGGUUAUUUUUCAAAAAUAGAGUCCAAAAGUGACAUGUGAAGCGCUAUUUCUACCGUCCUUGGAUUAUCCUAAUAGGGAUCAUUUGUUUCGUUUAUAUUAUGCAUGGAAUUGUAAUAGAUAUAUAUGAGUUGUAAUGUAAUGUAUGCUAGCAAUCUGUGUUAAAAAUCAA